GAUGAACGCUGGCGGCGUGCCUAAUACAUGCAAGUCGAGCGAACGGACGAGAAGCUUGCUUCUCUGAUGUUAGCGGCGGACGGGUGAGUAACACGUGGAUAACCUACCUAUAAGACUGGGAUAACUUCGGGAAACCGGAGCUAAUACCGGAUGAUAUUUUGAGCCGCAUGGUUCAAAAGUGAAAGACGGUCUUGCUGUCACUUAUAGAUGGAUCCGCGCUGCAUUAGCUAGUUGGUAAGGUAACGGCUUACCAAGGCAACGAUGCAUAGCCGACCUGAGAGGGUGAUCGGCCACACUGGAACUGAGACACGGUCCAGACUCCUACGGGAGGCAGCAGUAGGGAAUCUUCCGCAAUGGGCGAAAGCCUGACGGAGCAACGCCGCGUGAGUGAUGAAGGUCUUCGGAUCGUAAAACUCUGUUAUUAGGGAAGAACGUAUGUGUAAGUAACUGUGCACAUCUUGACGGUACCUAAUCAGAAAGCCACGGCUAACUACGUG
Molecule: ribosomal RNA, 497 nt
Filed under: uncultured bacterium
Lineage: Bacteria
Description: partial 16S ribosomal RNA
Rfam family: Bacterial small subunit ribosomal RNA
Source: RNAcentral